UUUAAAUUUAGAGUUUGAUCCUGGCUCAGGACGAACGCUGGCGGCGUGCUUAACACAUGCAAGUCGAGCGAUGAAGCUUCCUUCGGGGAGUGGAUUAGCGGCGGACGGGUGAGUAACACGUGGGUAACCUGCCUCAAAGUGGGGGAUAGCCUUCCGAAAGGAAGAUUAAUACCGCAUAAUAUAAGAGAAUCGCAUGAUUUUCUUAUCAAAGAUUUAUUGCUUUGAGAUGGACCCGCGGCGCAUUAGCUAGUUGGUAAGGUAACGGCUUACCAAGGCAACGAUGCGUAGCCGACCUGAGAGGGUGAUCGGCCACAUUGGAACUGAGACACGGUCCAGACUCCUACGGGAGGCAGCAGUGGGGAAUAUUGCGCAAUGGGGGAAACCCUGACGCAGCAACGCCGCGUGGGUGAUGAAGGUCUUCGGAUUGUAAAGCCCUGUUUUCUAGGACGAUAAUGACGGUACUAGAGGAGGAAGCCACGGCUAACUACGUGCCAGCAGCCGCGGUAAUACGUAGGUGGCGAGCGUUGUCCGGAUUUACUGGGCGUAAAGGGUGCGUAGGCGGAUGUUUAAGUGGGAUGUGAAAUCCCCGGGCUUAACCUGGGGGCUGCAUUCCAAACUGGAUAUCUAGAGUGCAGGAGAGGAAAGCGGAAUUCCUAGUGUAGCGGUGAAAUGCGUAGAGAUUAGGAAGAACACCAGUGGCGAAGGCGGCUUUCUGGACUGUAACUGACGCUGAGGCACGAAAGCGUGGGUAGCAAACAGGAUUAGAUACCCUGGUAGUCCACGCCGUAAACGAUGGAUACUAGGUGUAGGGGGUAUCAACUCCCCCUGUGCCGCAGUUAACACAAUAAGUAUCCCGCCUGGGGAGUACGGUCGCAAGAUUAAAACUCAAAGGAAUUGACGGGGGC
Molecule: ribosomal RNA, 905 nt
Filed under: Clostridium botulinum
Lineage: Bacteria; Bacillati; Bacillota; Clostridia; Eubacteriales; Clostridiaceae
Description: bacterial SSU rRNA
Rfam family: Bacterial small subunit ribosomal RNA
Source: RNAcentral